GCGGAGGAAAAGAAACCAACUGGGAUUACCUUAGUAACGGCGAGUGAAGCGGUAAAAGCUCAAAUUUGAAAUCUGGUACUUUCAGUGCCCGAGUUGUAAUUUGUAGAAUUUGUCUUUGAUUAGGUCCUUGUCUAUGUUCCUUGGAACAGGACGUCAUAGAGGGUGAGAAUCCCGUUUGGCGAGGAUACCUUUUCUCUGUAAGACUUUUUCGAAGAGUCGAGUUGUUUGGGAAUGCAGCUCAAAGUGGGUGGUAAAUUCCAUCUAAAGCUAAAUAUUGGCGAGAGACCGAUAGCGAACAAGUACAGUGAUGGAAAGAUGAAAAGAACUUUGAAAAGAGAGUGAAAAAGUACGUGAAAUUGUUGAAAGGGAAGGGCAUUUGAUCAGACAUGGUGUUUUUUGCAUGCACUCCCCUCUCGUGGGCUUGGGCCUCUCAAAAAUUUCACUGGGCCACCAUCAAUUCUGGCAGCAGGAUAAAUCAUUAAAAAGGUAGCUCCUUCGGUAGUGUUUUACCUUUUUGAAAUACUGUAGCCCGGGAU
RNAcentral lists this ribosomal RNA (536 nucleotides) under Hanseniaspora uvarum. RNAcentral describes it as "eukaryotic LSU rRNA". It matches the Rfam family "Eukaryotic large subunit ribosomal RNA", at positions 50 to 585 of the family's 3401-position model. The record is from RNAcentral. Lineage: Eukaryota; Fungi; Ascomycota; Saccharomycetes; Saccharomycodales; Saccharomycodaceae.